Molecule: ribosomal RNA, 251 nt
Filed under: uncultured prokaryote
Description: partial 16S rRNA
Rfam family: Bacterial small subunit ribosomal RNA
Source: RNAcentral
ACGGAGGGUGCAAGCGUUGUUCGGAAUUACUGGGCGUAAAGGGCGCGUAGGCGGUUUGAUAAGUCAGAUGUGAAAGCCCACGGCUUAACCGUGGAAGUGCAUUUGAAACUGUCAGACUUGAGUACCAGAGGGGAAAGUGGAAUUCCCGGUGUAGAGGUGAAAGGCGUAAAUAUCGGGAGGAAGCCCGGUGGCGAAGGCGACAUACUGGCUUGAUACUCACGCUGGGGCGCGAGAGCGUGGGGAGCAAACAG